RNAcentral lists this ribosomal RNA (253 nucleotides) under uncultured bacterium. RNAcentral describes it as "partial 16S ribosomal RNA". It matches the Rfam family "Bacterial small subunit ribosomal RNA", at positions 524 to 776 of the family's 1533-position model. The record is from RNAcentral.
UACGUAGGGUGCAAGCGUUGUCCGGAAUUAUUGGGCGUAAAGGGCUCGUAGGCGGUCCGUCACGUCGGGAGUGAAAACUCGGGGCUUAACCCCGAGCCUGCUUUCGAUACGGGCGGACUAGAGGUAGGUAGGGGAGAACGGAAUUCCUGGUGUAGCGGUGGAAUGCGCAGAUAUCAGGAGGAACACCGGUGGCGAAGGCGGUUCUCUGGGCCUUACCUGACGCUGAGGAGCGAAAGCGUGGGGAGCGAACAGG